CGAGUCUUUGCAGUAAUGCAAGGCAUACGGCUCAGUAACACGUAGUCAACCUACCCUAUGGACGAGAAUAAUCUCGGGAAACUGAGCAUAAUUCUUGAUAGAUCAUAAUGCCUGGAAUGGUUUAUGGUUAAAAUGAUUCGUCGCCAUAGGAUGGGACUGCGGCCUAUCAGCUUGUUGGUGAGGUAAUGGCCCACCAAGGCGAUUACAGGUACGGGCUCUGAGAGGAGAAGCCCGGAGAUGGGUACUGAGACACGGACCCAGGCCCUAUGGGGCGCAGCAGGCGAGAAAACUUUGCAAUGUGCGAAAGCACGGCAAGGUUAAUCCGAGUGAUUUCUGCUAAAGAAAUCUUUUACCAGUCGUAAAACCGCUGGUGAAUAAGGGGUGGGCAAGUUCUGGUGUCAGCCGCCGCGGUAAAACCAGCACCUCAAGUGGUCAGGAUGAUUAUUGGGCCUAAAGCAUCCGUAGCCUGCUUUGUAAGUUUUCGGUUAAAUCCAUGUGCUCAACGCAUGGGCUGCCGAAAAUACUGCAUAGCUAGGGAGUGGGAGAGGUAGACGGUACUCAGUAGGUAGGGGUAAAAUCCUUUGAUCUAUUGAUGACCACCUGUGGCGAAGGCGGUCUACCAGAACACGUUCGACGGUGAGGGAUGAAAGCUGGGGGAGCAAACCGGAUUAGAUACCCGGGCAGUCCCAGCUGUAAACGAUGCAGACUCGAUGAUGCAUUGGCAU
This 725-nucleotide ribosomal RNA is filed under the name uncultured archaeon. RNAcentral describes it as "bacterial SSU rRNA". It matches the Rfam family "Archaeal small subunit ribosomal RNA", at positions 54 to 785 of the family's 1478-position model. The record is from RNAcentral.